RNAcentral lists this ribosomal RNA (336 nucleotides) under Amblyomma longirostre. RNAcentral describes it as "partial 16S ribosomal RNA". The stretch from base 62 to 336 matches the Rfam family "Bacterial large subunit ribosomal RNA", at positions 2078 to 2598 of the family's 2925-position model. The record is from RNAcentral. Lineage: Eukaryota; Metazoa; Arthropoda; Arachnida; Ixodida; Ixodidae.
CUUUUUUAAAUUCAAUAAUUGAAUUUAUUUUUAUUUGUGAGGAAACAAUAAUAAAUAUUAAGGACAAGAAGACCCUAAGAAUUUUAAAAGAAUUAAUAUUUGAAUCAAAAUUUAUAUCUUUUUAAUUGGGGCGAUUAAGAAAUAUUAAUAACUUUCUUUACAAUACCAAAAUGAACCGUUAAUAGCGGUAAUAUGAUAAAAAUACUCUAGGGAUAACAGCGUAAUAAUUUUUGAUAGUUCAUAUAGACAAAAUAGUUUGCGACCUCGAUGUUGGAUUAGGAUACUUUUUUAAUGAAGAAGUUAAAAUAAGGAGUUUGUUCAACUUUUAAAAUCCUA